UACGUAGGGUGCGAGCGUUGUCCGGAAUUAUUGGGCGUAAAGAGCUUGUAGGCGGUUUUGUCGCGUCUGCUGUGAAAAUCCGGGGCUCAACCCCGGACUUGCAGUGGGUACGGGCAGACUAGAGUGUGGUAGGGGAGACUGGAAUUCCUGGUGUAGCGGUGAAAUGCGCAGAUAUCAGGAGGAACACCGAUGGCGAAGGCAGGUCUCUGGGCCACUACUGACGCUGAGAAGCGAAAGCAUGGGGAGCGAACAGG
RNAcentral lists this ribosomal RNA (254 nucleotides) under uncultured bacterium. Its description in RNAcentral is "partial 16S ribosomal RNA". It matches the Rfam family "Bacterial small subunit ribosomal RNA", at positions 524 to 776 of the family's 1533-position model. The record is from RNAcentral.